RNAcentral lists this non-coding RNA (145 nucleotides) under Burkholderiales bacterium. RNAcentral's name for it is "ZTP sequence". It matches the Rfam family "ZMP/ZTP riboswitch aptamer (pfl RNA motif)". From Rfam's summary of the family: Previously known as pfl RNA. Lineage: Bacteria; Pseudomonadati; Pseudomonadota; Betaproteobacteria; Burkholderiales. The record is from RNAcentral.
AAAACGCUGCGCAACUGGCGAUACAUGGCGAGCUGCCGUCACACACUGACGGCGCCGCCUGAGGUGGUGAACCACCGGGGAGCGCAGCCAGCCCUAGGGGCUUCUAAUGCCCGGGCUGAGUCAGCCGUUCGCCUGGGCAGCCCUC